GGGGGAUUAGCUCAGCGGCAGAGCGGCGCCUUUACACGGCGAAGGUCACAGGUUCAAAUCCUGCAUCCCCCA
This 72-nucleotide transfer RNA is filed under the name Ktedonobacterales bacterium. RNAcentral's name for it is "tRNA-Val". It matches the Rfam family "tRNA". From Rfam's summary of the family: Transfer RNA (tRNA) molecules are approximately 80 nucleotides in length. Their secondary structure includes four short double-helical elements and three loops (D, anti-codon, and T loops). Further hydrogen bonds mediate the characteristic L-shaped molecular structure. tRNAs have two regions of fundamental functional importance: the anti-codon, which is responsible for specific mRNA codon recognition, and the 3' end, to which the tRNAs corresponding amino acid is attached (by aminoacyl-tRNA synthetases). tRNAs cope with the degeneracy of the genetic code in two manners: having more than one tRNA (with a specific anti-codon) for a particular amino acid; and 'wobble' base-pairing, i.e. permitting non-standard base-pairing at the 3rd anti-codon position. Lineage: Bacteria; Bacillati; Chloroflexota; Ktedonobacteria; Ktedonobacterales. The record is from RNAcentral.